AUGCUUGCACAAUUAAUUAAAAGUUUAAAACACACCAGCUUAACGGACGGUCACUCACACUACGUUACAUGGAUAGAACAUCUCUCACAUGUCGGCGGCGAUCCCCUCGUCGCCGGUGGCGGCGGUCUCGAUGUCCUGGACACGCCUGUUGGGGGCGGCGCAGUUGUUCCGGAUCUCGCCCUUGUUGCCGGUGAGCAGGUCCAUGUUGCUCAUCUUGGUCAUGGACCUGGCGAACUGCUCGAAGAAGGCGCCCUGGUUGAGGGAGAAGCGGGUGGCCAUGCGCUUGGUGGUGGGGUGGUCGAUGAGGCCCUGGUCCGACUUGAACAGCCCCUGCCUUGCGAUCAGGUCGAAGUAGUACUUGUUGUCGAACACGUCCGGCGUGCGCACGUCGAGGUUCUGCGUGAGGGUGCCGGCGGGGUUGUCCCCGGCGCACUUGUUCCGGAGAGAGGUCGCGAACUUGGAGUCGAUGGCCGGGUUGGUGUCGAACACUGGCUUGAAGCGGUCCUCGAAGGCCGGGCAGUGGGCGACGCCGAAGGUGUGCGCGCCGGAGAGGGACACCAGGUCGGCCACGUCCAGGCUGCGGUUGCCGAAGGAGGAGAUGAGGGUCGGCACGUCGAAGAAGGGCGCCGGCAGGAGGCCGACGAGCGCGGACGACGCCGGGGCGAGCCCGUCGCGGCGGCCCAGGGCGACGUCGAAGCGGGGGCCACCGGCCUUGACGAGGGAGUCGCGGGUGGCGAGCACGGUGAUGUCGGCGCAGGAGACGGUCGGCCCGCAGGCGCUGUGCACGGCGGCGCGGAUGCGCUCGAUGAGGUCGAGCGCCACGGGGCGGAGCGUCUGGUUGGGGACCUCGUUCAGCUCGCUGCCGGCGCCCUUGAGCAGCACGGACGCGUCGCAGCCCUGCGGGAAGCAGUCGUGGAAGAGAAUGCGGAUGAGGGCCGGCGCCACGCCGACGUCGCGCCGGAACGUCUCGGCGACGUGGAACUCCACGAUGUGCUCCAGGUCCGGGCACGUCGCGGCGUGGAAGUUCGGCGACAGCUGGCCCUCCGACGAGUGGACGGCCGCGCAGACCAAGGCCAGGACGGCGACGGCCGCUGCUGCUCUGGACGCCAUCGCUGA
Molecule: ribosomal RNA, 1116 nt
Filed under: Triticum aestivum (bread wheat)
Lineage: Eukaryota; Viridiplantae; Streptophyta; Magnoliopsida; Poales; Poaceae
Description: partial small subunit ribosomal RNA
Source: RNAcentral